GUGGGGAAUAUUGGACAAUGGGCGAAAGCCUGAUCCAGCAAAGCCGCGUGAGUGAUGAAGGCCUUAGGGUUGUAAAGCUCUUUUACCCGGGAUGAUAAUGACAGUACCGGGAGAAUAAGCUCCGGCUAACUCCGUGCCAGCAGCCGCGGUAAUACGGAGGGAGCUAGCGUUGUUCGGAAUUACUGGGCGUAAAGCGCACGUAGGCGGCUUUGUAAGUUAGUGGUGAAAGCCUGGAGCUUAACUCCAGAACUGCCUUUAAGACUGCAUCGCUUGAAUCCAGGAGAGGUGAGUGGAAUUCCGAGUGUAGAGGUGAAAUUCGUAGAUAUUCGGAAGAACACCAGUGGCGAAGGCGGCUCACUGGACUGGUAUUGACGCUGAGGUGCGAAAGCGUGGGGAGCAAACAGGAUUAGAAACCCGGGUAGUCC
This 425-nucleotide ribosomal RNA is filed under the name uncultured bacterium. RNAcentral's name for it is "bacterial SSU rRNA". It matches the Rfam family "Bacterial small subunit ribosomal RNA", at positions 354 to 796 of the family's 1533-position model. The record is from RNAcentral.